Molecule: ribosomal RNA, 468 nt
Filed under: uncultured bacterium
Lineage: Bacteria
Description: partial 16S ribosomal RNA
Rfam family: Bacterial small subunit ribosomal RNA
Source: RNAcentral
GACGAACGCUGGCGGCGUGCUUAACACAUGCAAGUCGAACGGAAAGGCCCUGCUUUUGUGGGGUGCUCGAGUGGCGAACGGGUGAGUAACACGUGAGUAACCUGCCCUUGACUUUGGGAUAACUUCGGGAAACUGGGGCUAAUACCGGAUAGGAGCUCCUGCUGCAUGGUGGGGGUUGGAAAGUUUCGGCGGUUGGGGAUGGACUCGCGGCUUAUCAGCUUGUUGGUGGGGUAGUGGCUUACCAAGGCUUUGACGGGUAGCCGGCCUGAGAGGGUGACCGGCCACAUUGGGACUGAGAUACGGCCCAGAAUCCUACGGGAGGCAGCAGUGGGGAAUAUUGCACAAUGGGCGGAAGCCUGAUGCAGCAACGCCGCGUGCGGGAUGACGGCCUUCGGGUUGUAAACCGCUUUCGCCUGUGACGAAGCGUGAGUGACGGUAAUGGGUAAAGAAGCACCGGCUAACUACGUG